GGACAAAUGCCACAGGCCACAGAUGGUAGACGACGCCGUGGAGGUGCUGCACCGCCCUGGAGGGUCUGCCUCUGCGGUCGCUCGCUCCUGGGGAGGCACAUGAGCACAGCCAUCCCCGACUGGGCUACGCCAGCCUCUGCAGAGAGUCUGUUCCUCGCAGCCAAUCAGGAUGCUGAUCCAGAAGGCAACUGAAGCCAUGGCCAGUGGGAAACUGCCCAGGCGAGCAGAGAUUCAGAAGGAGGGCGGGGCAGAGGCUUCGGGGCUCUCAGCGUUUAAAGGCUGGGAGAAGAGGUUGAGCCUGCAGGAGAGACCAAGAUCUUAUAAAAAAAAAAGCCAAAAACCCCACAAUUCUUUGAAGAACGAAAGGGGGAAGCCAGCUGCCAUGUCAUGAGGACACUCAAGGGGUCCAUAUGGCAAGGACCCAAGGCUGCCUGCCGUGAGCCACCAGGGAACUGCCAACAGCGUGAGCGGGAUAUGUCGGAAGCAAAUCCUCCAGCCGCAGUCAUGAUGAUUAGAGCCCCAGCCAAGAUUUUGAUGGCAACCUCAUGACAGACCCUGAGCCACAGCCACUCAACUAAACUACUCCCAAAUUCUUGACCCUCAGAAACUGUGACGUAAUGUAUUUUAUUGUUUUAAACCACCAAGAUCUGGGGUACUGGUUAUGCAACAAUAAAUACCGAAUACACACAUACAAUAAAACCAGGCCACGAAGGUUUUCCAGGGGAUUCUACAACACGUUCAAGGAAAAGAUGAUCCCAGUUUUUACGAACCAUUCCAGAGAGAACGUCCCCACCCACUUUAUGAGGCUGUAUAACCUGAUACCAAAACCAGUCAAGGAUAUUAUUUUCAAUGUAUAAGCAAAUCUCACUAAUGAACAGAUAGUAAAAGUUCUAAACAAAACAGCAAGCUGAAUUCAGCAAUAUAUUUUAAAUACACAUAGCAUGGCUUGGUUUACUUCGGGAAUGCAAGAAUGAAUUUACUUUUCCAAAAUCUAUAAAUUUAUUCACCAUUUUAACACAUUGAAGAAGAAAAAUGAUAUGAGCAUCUCAAUAGUUAAGAUAAAAAUGGAUAAAAUCUAACUUUACUGAUUAUUUUAAAAUAUACUUAGCAAACUCAGACUAGAAACAUCACAUUUAUUGAUGAAACAUUAGAGACCUACCCUUUGCAACCAAGAUAGUUCUAAGGAUGCUCACUGUUCUGCUCAACAUUAUAGUGGAGGUUUUAGCCAGUGCAGGAAGAUAUUUUAAAACAGAAAAAUAAAUCAAUAAUGGGUGUAAGGUUUUAAUAGGAAGAAGCAAAUUAUCAGAAUUAUUACUAGACAUAAGAUAAUUAUGUAAAAAUAAAUUACAUUCUUAUAUAUUGGUAAUAAAAAUUAGAAAAUACAACUUUUUUUAUUUUUUUCUUUAGAAAAUAUAACUUUUUAAAAAGAUGCCAUCUACAAUAGCAAUGACAAAUCAAAAAAGAGGAAGGAUACCUAGGAAUAAAUCUAACAAAAUCAGUGCAAGGUUUCUUUUUUUUAUAUACUUUAAGUUCUAGGGUACAUGUGCACAACGUGCAGGUUUGUUACAUAUGAAUACAUGUGCCAGGUUGGUUGGCUGCACCCAUUAACUCGUCAUUUACAUUAGGUAUUUCUCCUAACACUAUCCCUCUCCCAGCCCCCCACCCCCCGACAGUCCAGGCGUGUGACGUUCCCCGCCCUGUGUCCAAGUGUUCUCAUUGUUCAAUUCCCACCUAUGAGUGAGAACAUGCGGUGUUUGGUUUUCUGUUCUUAUAGUGAAGGUUUUUAUAAAAAAAAUUCUAAAACAUCACUGAAAGAUUUAAAAUGACGUAAAUAAAUGGGAAGAUGAACCAUGCUUACUGGCAAGAACACUAGGUAUUGUAAAAAAUACAGAUUCUUCCCCAAAUUAGUUUUAAAUUUACUGCAAUUUUUUUUUUUUUUUUUUGAGAUGGAGUCUCGCUCUGUCGCCCAGGCUAGAGUGCAGUGGCACGAUCUCGGCUCACUGCAACCUCCGCCUCCCGGGUUCAAGUGAUUCUCCUGCCUCAGUGUCCCAAGUAGCUGGGAUUACAG
Molecule: long non-coding RNA, 2068 nt
Filed under: Homo sapiens (human)
Lineage: Eukaryota; Metazoa; Chordata; Mammalia; Primates; Hominidae
Description: HSALNT0317312
Source: RNAcentral